Molecule: long non-coding RNA, 561 nt
Filed under: Mytilus galloprovincialis (Mediterranean mussel)
Lineage: Eukaryota; Metazoa; Mollusca; Bivalvia; Mytilida; Mytilidae
Source: RNAcentral
AGUAACAAAAAACAAAAUCGGGGUAACAAACUAAAACCGAGGGAAACGCAUUAAAUAUAAGAGGAGAACAACGACAUAACACCGAAACGUAACACACACAGAAACGGACCAAGCAUCAGACAAAACACCACGAGAAUAACAAAUAUAACAAGAAAACCAAAUACAUGAAUUUGGGAUAGACAAGUACCGUGCCACGUCUGAUCUCAAUAUCUCAAAAAUAAGAGAAAACACAAACGACUCAACGUUAAAAUGCAACACACACAGAAACGAACAAUAAUAUAACAAUGGCCAUCUUCCUGACUUGGUACAGGACACUUUUAAAGGGGAAUAAAAGUGGUGGGUUGAACCUGGUUUUGUGGCAUGCCAAACCUCGCACUUUAAUGGCAAAGUUAAAUAUAACAUUGAAAUGACAACAUAAUAUUACAGGACUACAAUACAAAUAAAUAGGAGAACAUAUUAGACAAAGAAAAACAUGAUUAAUAGAUAACAAAAAGCAUCAGGUUUAAAAUUCAAUACGCCAAAAACGCGCCUUGUCCACACAGGACUUACAAGUGACGCCCA